This 892-nucleotide ribosomal RNA is filed under the name uncultured Staphylococcus sp. RNAcentral's name for it is "bacterial SSU rRNA". It matches the Rfam family "Bacterial small subunit ribosomal RNA", at positions 44 to 916 of the family's 1533-position model. The record is from RNAcentral. Lineage: Bacteria; Bacillati; Bacillota; Bacilli; Caryophanales; Staphylococcaceae.
GUGCCUAAUACAUGCAAGUCGAGCGAACAGAUGAGAAGCUUGCUUCUCUGAUGUUAGCGGCGGACGGGUGAGUAACACGUGGGUAACCUACCUAUAAGACUGGGAUAACUCCGGGAAACCGGGGCUAAUACCGGAUAAUAUUUUGAACCGCAUGGUUCAAUAGUGAAAGACGGUUUCGGCUGUCACUUAUAGAUGGACCCGCGCCGUAUUAGCUAGUUGGUAAGGUAAUGGCUACCAAGGCGACGAUACGUAGCCGACCUGAGAGGGUGAUCGGCCACACUGGAACUGAGACACGGUCCAGACUCCUACGGGAGGCAGCAGUAGGGAAUCUUCCGCAAUGGGCGAAAGCCUGACGGAGCAACGCCGCGUGAGUGAUGAAGGUCUUCGGAUCGUAAAACUCUGUUGUUAGGGAAGAACAAAUUUGUUAGUAACUGAACAAGUCUUGACGGUACCUAACCAGAAAGCCACGGCUAACUACGUGCCAGCAGCCGCGGUAAUACGUAGGUGGCAAGCGUUAUCCGGAAUUAUUGGGCGUAAAGCGCGCGUAGGCGGUUUCUUAAGUCUGAUGUGAAAGCCCACGGCUCAACCGUGGAGGGUCAUUGGAAACUGGGAAACUUGAGUGCAGAAGAGGAGAGUGGAAUUCCAUGUGUAGCGGUGAAAUGCGCAGAGAUAUGGAGGAACACCAGUGGCGAAGGCGGCUCUCUGGUCUGUAACUGACGCUGAUGUGCGAAAGCGUGGGGAUCAAACAGGAUUAGAUACCCUGGUAGUCCACGCCGUAAACGAUGAGUGCUAAGUGUUAGGGGGGUCUCCGCCCCUUAGUGCUGCAGCUAACGCAUUAAGCACUCCGCCUGGGGAGUACGACCGCAAGGUUGAAACUCAAAUGAAUUGACGG